UAAUGCUUAAUUCAAUCAUUUCUUGAUGGUUUAUUAAAAUAUAACAUAUAUGUUUUAUUGUCUUAUAUUCUGUACCUGUAUUUUGGAUUUGGAAUUUCUAUUAAUAGACUUCACUUUCUAUUAAUUGAUCCAGUGAUCUUUCUUCAAUCUUUCCUUUUGGUUUCUUCAUCUCAAUGACCUUAAGCCAUUUUUUAUUCUUGUACCUUAAUAACUGAAUAUGUUUAGUUUCUUUUUGCAGAAGUGAAAUUUCUAAAAAGCUGGUGUUGUAUUUUGGCCCCAGAUUGUUAUAAUUGUGUCUCAAAGAUUUGAUAGGAAAUUGGAAAGUACUGCAAGAGUUUGGUACUAUACAUUUUUUUUCUUAAGAAUACUUAUUUAAUUCAUCAGUGAUACCCUAAGAAUACUUAAGAUGAAAAGGAUUAAUAUCAAUUCUGAGCUUGUUAGGGAUCUUUGGUAAUUACUGUUAGGUGUGCUAUGUGUUGGUUCUGUUUAUUUCCAUGUUCUUGCUUUCCGUAAUUUCUAGAAAAUGUUGAGUGGUUGGUUACAGAUUAUUGUUUUAGUUAUACUGACUUGUUAGUAAUUGGAUUUGAAGUUGGAUGUGAUGAGUACACACUAUGGAUGAUCUUUCGUAACUUCUUGAUGAGUGGGCCGCAUAUGUUGCCAAGUUAUUUGUAGCAUACGAUAAUCAUGUAAUGUAUGAGUAUAUUUUUUAUUGUAAAUCGUCUCCAACUCUCCAUCGCCACUUUCUCAACCACCAUGUUGCUUGUUGAUAUUUGGGUGAGAAAAAUGAAUGAAAAAAUUGAAAAUCUUUAUGGAUGUCUCUAUUGGAUGGAUUCCCUUUGAUUCGUUUUGGAGAUAAAAUCAUGAUAAACAAUUGUAUUAGUGGAUGUUUUUUAAAGCCAUGAAGGGACAUGAACCUCGGUCAAGCUCAUGUUGUGCAGCCUGCAAGUUACUGAAAAGAAAAUGUAUUCCCACGAAUCCCACAUGUAUUUUUGCACCUUAUUUUCGCUCUAAUGAGUCGAAGAAAUUCGCCAAAGUGCACAAAGGUGUUUGGAGCAAGCAAUGUGAGCAAGAUCCCAUGCGGGUUUAGAAGCCUGGAUAAAAAAUCCGGACCCGGAACAUGCCAGGUUCGAGCUCGGACCGCACAUGUAAAAUCCGGGUUUAGCCCGGGUCCGGGUAGCAGUUUCUGUCAUCCGGUCCGGUCCCGGGCAGCACCAGACCCGGACCGGACCCGGGGUUUUGCCAAGCCUAUUCCUAGCUAGCACAUGCCGACUUUUAUGAAACUUGCAUUUUUGUCUUGUCUCCCAUGGGGAGUAGCUGAACCCAUUGAGGUAAUGCUUAAUUCAAUCAUUUCUUGAUGGUUUAUUAAAAUAUAACAUAUAUGUUUUAUUGUCUUAUAUUCUGUACCUGUAUUUUGGAUUUGGAAUUUCUAUUAAUAGACUUCACUUUCUAUUAAUUGAUCCAGUGAUCUUUCUUCAAUCUUUCCUUUUGGUUUCUUCAUCUCAAUGACCUUAAGCCAUUUUUUAUUCUUGUACCUUAAUAACUGAAUAUGUUUAGUUUCUUUUUGCAGAAG
This 1570-nucleotide long non-coding RNA is filed under the name Citrus sinensis (sweet orange). RNAcentral's name for it is "long non-coding RNA (CSIN_LNC002137)". Lineage: Eukaryota; Viridiplantae; Streptophyta; Magnoliopsida; Sapindales; Rutaceae. The record is from RNAcentral.